AAAACGGAGAGUUUGAUCCUGGCUCAGGAUGAACGCUGGCGGUAUGCUUAACACAUGCAAGUCGAACGGGCUCUUCGGAGCUAGUGGCGGACGGGUGAGUAACGCGUGAGAAUCUGGCUUCAGGUUCGGGACAACAGUUGGAAACGGCUGCUAAUACCGGAUGUGCCCUUGGGUGAAAGAUUUAUCACCUGAAGAUGAGCUCGCGUCUGAUUAGCUAGUAGGUGUGGUAAGAGCGCACCUAGGCGACGAUCAGUAGCUGGUCUGAGAGGAUGAUCAGCCACACUGGGACUGAGACACGGCCCAGACUCCUACGGGAGGCAGCAGUGGGGAAUUUUCCGCAAUGGGCGAAAGCCUGACGGAGCAAUACCGCGUGAGGGAGGAAGGCUCUUGGGUUGUAAACCUCUUUUCUCAGGGAAGAAAGAUGACGGUACCUGAGGAAUAAGCAUCGGCUAACUCCGUGCCAGCAGCCGCGGUAAUACGGAGGAUGCAAGCGUUAUCCGGAAUGAUUGGGCGUAAAGCGUCCGCAGGUGGCAAUGUAAGUCUGCUGUCAAAGCGUCUGGCUCAACCAGAUAAAGGCAGUGGAAACUACAUAGCUAGAGUAAGGUAGGGGUAGAGGGAAUUCCUGGUGUAGCGGUGAAAUGCGUAGAGAUCAGGAAGAACACCGGUGGCGAAAGCGCUCUGCUGGACCUAAACUGACACUGAGGGACGAAAGCUAGGGGAGCGAAUGGGAUUAGAUACCCCAGUAGUCCUAGCCGUAAACGAUGGAUACUAGGCGUUGCCCGUAUCGACCCGGGCAGUGUCGUAGCUAACGCGUUAAGUAUCCCGCCUGGGGAGUACGCAGGCAACUGUGAAACUCAAAGGAAUUGACGGGGGCCCGCACAAGCGGUGGAGUAUGUGGUUUAAUUCGAUGCAACGCGAAGAACCUUACCAGGGCUUGACAUGUCCGGAAUCCUCUUGAAAGAGAGGAGUGCCUUCGGGAGCCGGAACACAGGUGGUGCAUGGCUGUCGUCAGCUCGUGUCGUGAGAUGUUGGGUUAAGUCCCGCAACGAGCGCAACCCUCGUUCUUAGUUGCCAGCAUUAAGUUGGGCACUCUAAGGAGACUGCCGGUGACAAACCGGAGGAAGGUGGGGAUGACGUCAAGUCAGCAUGCCCCUUACGCCCUGGGCUACACACGUACUACAAUGCUAUGGACAAAGGGCAGCAAGCCAGCGAUGGCAAGCAAAUCUCGUAAACCAUGGCUCAGUUCAGAUCGCAGGCUGCAACUCGCCUGCGUGAAGGUGGAAUCGCUAGUAAUUGCAGGUCAGCAUACUGCAGUGAAUUCGUUCCCGGGCCUUGUACACACCGCCCGUCACACCAUGGAAGCUGGUCACGCCCGAAGUCGUUACCCUAACCUUUCGAGGAGGGGGACGCCGAAGGUAGGACUGGUGACUGGGGUGAAGUCGUAACAAGGUAGCCGUACCGGAAGGUGUGGCUGGAUCACCUCCUUAA
Molecule: ribosomal RNA, 1488 nt
Filed under: Scytonema sp. HK-05
Lineage: Bacteria; Bacillati; Cyanobacteriota; Cyanophyceae; Nostocales; Scytonemataceae
Description: bacterial SSU rRNA
Rfam family: Bacterial small subunit ribosomal RNA
Source: RNAcentral